AUGAACGCUGGCGGCGUGCCUAAUACAUGCAAGUCGAGCGAACGGACGAGAAGCUUGCUUCUCUGAUGUUAGCGGCGGACGGGUGAGUAACACGUGGAUAACCUACCUAUAAGACUGGGAUAACUUCGGGAAACCGGAGCUAAUACCGGAUAAUAUUUUGAACCGCAUGGUUCAAAAGUGAAAGACGGUCUUGCUGUCACUUAUAGAUGGAUCCGCGCUGCAUUAGCUAGUUGGUAAGGUAACGGCUUACCAAGGCAACGAUGCAUAGCCGACCUGUGAGGGUGAUAGGCCACCCGGGAGCUGAGACACGGUCCAGACGCCUGCGGGAGGCCGCAGUAGGGAAUCUGACGCAAUAGUCGGGAGUCUGACGGAGCAACGCGGAGUGAGUGAUGACGGUCUUCGGAUCGUAAAACUCUGUUACUAGUGAAGAACAUAUUUGUCAGUUACUGUGCACAGCUUGACGGUACCUAAUCAGAAAGCCACGGCUAACUACGUG
This 496-nucleotide ribosomal RNA is filed under the name uncultured bacterium. RNAcentral's name for it is "partial 16S ribosomal RNA". It matches the Rfam family "Bacterial small subunit ribosomal RNA", at positions 29 to 507 of the family's 1533-position model. The record is from RNAcentral.